This 6970-nucleotide long non-coding RNA is filed under the name Sus scrofa (pig). RNAcentral's name for it is "lncRNA (ENSSSCG00050010298.1)". Lineage: Eukaryota; Metazoa; Chordata; Mammalia; Artiodactyla; Suidae. The record is from RNAcentral.
GUCUUUUUGCCUUUUCUAGGGCCGCUCCUGCGGCAUAUGGAGGUUCCCAAGCUAGGGGUCUAAUUGGAGGCUUAGCCACCAGCCUACGCCAGAGCCACAGCAACUCAGGGUCUGAGCCACGUCUGCGACCUACACCACAGCUCACGGCAAUGCCGGAUCCUUAACCCACUGAGCAAGACCAGGGAUCGAACCCACAACCUCAUGGUUCCUAGUUGGAUUCCUUAACCACUGAGCCACGACGGGAACUUCUGCACAUUGUUUUUUCUUUAGACAUAAUGCUACUGUACACUUAACAGACUAUAGUAUAGCGUAAACAUAACUUUUAUAUGUGAUGGGAAACCAGAAACUUUAUGUGAUUCAUUUUAUUGUGGUGAUCUGGAACGGAACCCAUAACAUCUCGGAGGUCUGCCUGUACUAUUGUUAGUAGAAUAACAAUAGAAUUGCCCUCCACUUCAGCCUGUCUAGGAUUCAAGAGUAACCCUGGAAAUAUUUGUUCCAUUAAGGUAAAAUCUGAAUUAUUUUUACCUUAUACAAAAUAUGUACUGCUGUUGUCUUGGUGGAAAACAUAUUUGAGCGAUGAUCUGAAAGGAAUAAUGCUGGGUAGUCUGAGCUCACAUGGACAGUCUGAUUAAACUCCCAGACCUAAGCACUGUGCCCAACCUCUACAUUGGUGAGGAAGUGGUGCUUCUGAAGGGUCAGGACUGGGAAACACCUUCUGAUGACCUGAGUACCACGGGGCCCUGGGAAGCCCUUAGGUUCACUGAGUUUGAGUCUACUGAAACAAUAUUAUUUAUUAUUCUUGGCUGUGUAGCUCACUUACCAGGUGACUUUAGGAAAAUAAUGUAACCUCUCCACUUUACUCACUUCUAAAUGGGUUCACUGUUUGCCUACCUUAUGGAGGUGUUGUGCUGAUAAAACAAUUGAUGGCAGAGCAGAAAGGCCCUUUAAUCAUUUGAUGCACUGCCUCAGAAAUCCUAGCUGCAUGCAGUGAAAGAGAUGGUCAUGGUCCUAUCUAGCAAUCACCAACUGGGGAUAGAUUUUGCAAUCAGCAAACUACUACCAGGCUGAGGGGACCUGGAACGGUGCAGGUCUAGGGUAAAUGCAUGGGCAUCUGUGUCAGAAAACUUGGGCUCAAAUCCCAGCUCUCCCACUUGCUGGCUGUGUGAUGUUGGGAAAGUCAACUAGCCUCUCUGAGCCUGCAUUGCCUGUUCCAUGAACUAGGAAAACCCAGUCUUUUAGGGUUGGCUGUAGGGAUUAAAUGAAGCAGCUGACAUUUAGUAGAUUAAUAAAGGGCAAUGGUUAUAAGGGCCUGUCAUUUUCCAUGAGGUCUUACGAAUGUAAUGCAGUGUUUCCAAAAUGUGCAGUAUUUUUACCACUUAGGGGAAAUAAAGAGAGGGUUUUAUGUGGGACACGGAAAUUCUUAGAUGUGUGGAAUUAGGAACAAAUAGGGCACAUCAGAGUUGUGACUUCAUGACUGUUACUGAUUAGGAUGGGGAUAGUUCUAGAAAAAGAGUCAAUUUAAGCAUUAUAAUAAAUGAUUAUAUAGUUGGACUUGGGGUAAUAGAAUUUGAAGGUGGUGUAUGAAAGGCUUAAACCACAAAUGGCUGAUAGCAUAGAAAAAGGCACUGGGCUAGGAGCAAGCUCUGACCUUAAGUUUACAUUCAUCAAUCAUAUGACCAAAGCCCUGCUCCUAAGUCUAUCUGAGCUCCAGUUUCCUCAUCUGUAAAAUGGGAUAAUAAUAUUGAGGAAGAUAAAAAUGAGGUAAUAAAAAUGAAAUUUCUUGGAAAACUGCAAAAGUGCCAUCCAGCUUAUGUAAGAGGUUUGUUAUCCCUAAUAUGUGCUUUUUUUCUUUCUAGGGCCAUUCCCGUGGCAUAUGGAGGUUCCUGGGCUAGGGUCUGAAUCAGAGCUGUAGCUGCUGGCCUACGCCACAGCCACAGUAACGUGGAUCUGAGCCACAUCUGCGAUCUAUGCUACAGCUUGCAGUAACGCCAGAUCCUUAACCCACUGAGCGAGGCCAGGGAUUGAAACCACAACUUCAUGGAUAUUAGUCUGGUUUUUAACCUGCUGAGCCACAACGGGAACUCCCCUAACAUGUGCUUUGAUAGAGAAAUAAUCCACACUUAGCUGCCAGCUGAUAAGACUGCAGUACAGAUCAAGUUCAAAGUCAAGGAGGGUUUCAAUCCCCACUCUGCCAGUUACUAUCCUGCAGCCUUGAGCAAGCCGUUUAAGGGAUUAAUAAGAACAUACCAUUUGCAAUUCAACUCAAAGACCAAAAACAACUCAAAGGAAAAUGGACAAAAGAUGUGACAAGACAGAAGACCAAAGGUGAAAUAUGACGGCUUUUGUAUAUAUAAACAUGUUCUCUAUCUCAUUCAUAAGAUACAUGCUAAUUGUACCCACACUGGGUAUGACCUUUUUGAUCAUCAAAUAUGCAAAGAUCAGUUUGAUUAAGCUGUAUUGGUAAGGAGUAGGAAAUAGGUAUGCCUUUAUAGUAGAUGGUGGGGAGGUAACCUGUUCCCACCUCUAUGGGGGGCAAUUUACAAUUUGUCAGGAGUGUAAAAGUACAGACCUUUUGAGGUAGGCUGAAUGCUGGGUUCCACACGCCAAUCCCUGGAAUGUGUGUUACCUUAUGUGGCAAAAAGGAUUUAAGAUUAGGAAUCCAGAGACGGGGAAAUUAUUCUCAGUUAUCCGGGAGAGUCAGAUGAAAUCACUGGGGUCCUUAUAAGAGGGAGGCAGAUCAGAGAGGAGGGGCGGAUACACAAUGAUGACACAUGAGGUUACGUGUUGAUCUCUGCAGGUCAGUUGUUCUGUCCAGGAACAGACUCAGGCUGUGACUGCAUGCCAUCUGUAGGGUUCCAGUCACACCCAGGCUUCCUUCAUCUUUCCAGCUGCACUGAAACUGGCAAGGUGAUGCCCCUCUGCCAACCUGCAACCAGACUCCAAAUUGCAGGCAGAUCGCCAGAGCAGCAGCCAGUUUCCAGUCCAUAUCCCCAGGUCAGGCGCAGAGGAGGUCCCUCAUUAUCUAGCCCUGAGAAGCCCUUGGGUGAGCCCAAGUGGAGCUCUCUUCUCUCUACAGGCACAACACACAGCUCUUUGUCUUCACUGCAGAGCGAGUCUUUUUCCUGACACGUGAGAAAUACUCCUGCGUGAUGGAUUAAAAUUCCUCAAAGAAGGAGAAAGAGGAAAGCAAAAUAAAUGUAUUUCCAUGACUUUGAGUACAAAUCCCCGUGCAGGGCCGUGUGCCAUCCUCAGAGCCGAGCUGGAGCUAUUUUAGAGCCAGUGUCGUGUGUGAGACAAAUCUACUCGACUGAAAAAUCUUCUUUUACAGGAUAGAGAUAGGCAAGAAAUCAGUGCUGGGGCUCUCUGAGUGCUUGAUUGUGGUUAUAAACGUUCCCGGCUGCAUCAGCAAAGCUGCUCCAAGUCGACCAUAAACCUUUGGGGGGGACUCAGGAGGCAGGGCUGACAAGGCAAGUUGAAAACCUGGGCCCCUUUGACUAGGAGUCCUUCCGAGCUGCUAAAAAUACUGCCCGAAGUGGGAGCAGACCAGGGAAACAUCCCCCAAGCCCCCAUCUAUGACUGGUAAGAAAAGGGGCCAGCUAAGGAGGUGGGAUGGAGGCGCAGGAGAAUUCAGCAAACAUAAGAUGAAGCAGAUUUGGUGCUGUGUGCCAGAGAUGCAGAGGUGUCUCCCCAGACUAAAGGAGCUUAGAUGAAGGUGAGGGCAAAGCAUGGACUUGAGCCAGAAAAGUCUGGGUUCAAAUCCCAGCUCAGCCAUUUAUACUCCUUUGUAUUGCCUUGUGCCCAAAGCAUGUGGCUUUAUAAGCCUCAGUUUUCCCAUCUGCAAGGUGGAGCUAAUAAUCUGAACUUGUGGACUGCAAGCUUUAGGGAUGAUGUAUGGCUAGUGCCUGGCACAGAGUGGACCCUUGACAAAUGGUAGCUGCUAUUAUUGCUCUGACAGUCUAGUGAAUAAAGAUCUUUAAAAGCAAUGGGAAAUCAAACAAGGAGGAGGAAAAUCACAGACAAUCCCAGGUUGUAUGGUUUGGGUGAUAAGUGUCAGAAAAAUUCUCAGAAAGGAAAAGUUCCUAAGACUUCACCCAAUCUCUACUCAUAGACAUCUCUUCCAGCCUCCUGAAGCUGAUAAAUGCUAUAUUUCUUCCAGCCUGCCCAGAUCUGCCAGUACCACGGAAUAUUCAUCCAUGUGGUGUUUGUGGAACUGGAUGGCAUCAUUCCUCUUCUGAUACCCAGGGUACAGGAAAAUGGAAGGUUGUGGUAAAUGAGUAGAUUAGGGGUUUGGGUAAAUUGCAAAGGACACCCUGCAUGGAAAAGGCAGGCGUGUGUAUCACUCAGAGGCCAAUCAGAAAGGCUGGGCUACUAUACUCACCUGCCCCCACUUCAGACAUUGGCUAUAAGUGGGGUCCCCAGGCCACUUGCACAUCUGGCCACAAAACUGAGGAAGUUCUCGUGACCCACUUAGGCUCAGUAAUUCCCUAGAACAACUCAUAGAACUCAAGAAAGUGCUUACUUAUGAUUACAAUUUUGUUGUAAAGGAAGGACACAGAUCAGAUCAUUACCAGGAAGAGACACACAGGGUGACGUCUGAGAGGGUCCAGAACAUGAGGCUUCCCUUCCCUCUCCCCGGGAACCAAGGUGCCAUCAAUGUGUUCUAGCAUCAUCCUGGCACAUCUAUGUGUUCGCCAACCAGGAAGCUCUACUGGGCUUUUUUGUAUAGAGAUUCAGGAUUUUAUCACAUAGGCAUGAUUGACUGAGUCAUUAGCCAUGGGACUGAACUCAGAUUCCAGCUCCUAUCCCUGGCCCAGAGGUCAGGCUGUCUCAAGGCUCCAAGGCUCUCUCAUACAGUUGGUCCUCCUAGUUGACCCACUCCAUGCUGAUCAGGUGGAGGCCUGUGACCCCAUCAUGAGUCAUCUCAUCUCUUAGCAUAAACCCAGGUCUGAUCCAAGAGCUUAUGAAUUAAUGAAGACACUACUUUUACAUGGGAAAUUCCAAGGAUUUAGAGUCUCAUUGGUAGGAACCAGAGAUAAAGGGCAAAUUCUUUAUUACACAGCAGAUAUAAAGUGGAGGAGUGUAGGAAUGUGCUGGAACCCCAUGAGGAUGGGGCAAAACCCAAAGGUGGACCCAGGAAAAGGUGGGGUAGUGGCAGGCUUGGCUCCAUCUCAUGCCAAUGAGAUGAGCCAGCAGAUAGCAAUGCUGAGUGUGUGCUGCAUCACUUCCACCCUCCAAAUCUGCCACAGGAUCCAUCCCUCUGUGGCUGCCCGCACUGGAAACAUAUAGGGAUGGGAAUCCCAGGAAAUGCAGGUGAGCCCAGCCAGGGUGACUUGAUAAAGCCACAGUGUACAUGAGUUCAGUGAGAAGCCAACCCCUCAGCAAGGCCAAUGCUAACGGCAGGGGGGAGGGGAGGGAGGGGGUACCCAUCUCCAUGGUGUGAAUUAAUGGGUGGUGAGAAGAUGUUUCUAGAACAAUCUUGAAGCCUCAUGACUCUGAGAUAAUGCUGACUGUUCCUUUGGUUUUUUUUUAAGAAUGUAGACACCCUGGGAGAAGAACUCAUCAAGACACAAACCUAGACUCACUAGAGUCUGACGGGUUUCUGGCCCUUUCUCUGCAUCUACCUUAUGUUCCCAUCCUUGGCUGACUCACACCUCUGAGGCAGCAAAGCAGACUUGCCCACAGCUGUGUACGACUGAAUUACCCUUUGGACUGUCUUUCUAUAUGAGCCAAUGGCAGAGGCUGGAGCCCUCAAGCUGAUGGCUUGGCAUCUCCCUCACAGGAUCUACACACUGUCCCCAUUAGGGGCUACAUAAAAAGGACCUGACAUAGACCACAGCCCUGGUGAGCCCGCCCAUGAGACCUGCUUCCUGCAGGAAGGAAGGGGCCUCUCCUGUCAUCUCCUCCAGCCUCUCUCUCAGCCAUUUCACAGCCUGUUAGCACUUCUGUCACAGAGGACCCAACACUCCAAAUAGCCCAUUUCACCACCUAGAAGACCGUUUAGAGGAGAGGAUGGAGGGAGAGAGGAGAUCAGGAGUUAACAGGAUGACCCAGGUUAUCAGUUCCUUCUGGUUACCCAUUCACAGGGUGUCUGGGGAUAAUUGAGACAUACAAGGAAAGCAGAUGCGGAAUAUGCUAGAUAACUGAUACCCUACUGAGGAACAGGUAGAUAGAUCGCAUAACACCCUCAGUCUCCCAGGAACUGUUUAAUUUCAAAAUCUGUCCUUUUGUGGGAUGAAAUAUCUUUAGUUUUGCUUAGAAAAAUAUGGUCAAAAUAUCUGUGGACCAGAAGCCGCCGCCUCAGCGGUCAUUCUUCCUCUCCCCCAACAUCCAAGCCAUUAGCAGCUGCAGUUUCCAAAUCACUUCUUAGGUCCACCUAGUGCUCUUUCUCUGGCUUCACAGCACCGAGUGAGUCCAAACUCUGCUGGCUCUUCCCUGCAUGACUGUGACUGCCUCCCAACUGGGUCCCUGUAUCCUUCCCCUUUGGAUGUGGGCUGCUGUCGUGUUCUUGCAAUAUGACAUACUCUGGGCUGUCCUUUUGGAACAAAGAAUUCCCAUCAUAUGAGUGCCACCUCUUCAGUGAUUUAGAAAUCAGAAUGCAAAUUCCCAGACCCCCCUGUCGGCGUGUGACCCAGAACCCAUGCAUCGACUGCUCCCUACGAGGUGAGUCCUGAAGGUUCGGUCUCAUUGGUGGGGCUGGCAGAGACCCCAGCCUGCCUGUGGCCAGAAUAGCAGCAGGGGUGGCCCAGAGGCUGCCACUUGAGCUGGGACACUCGUGUUAGAGCAGCAGGGGCAGCAGGGGCAGGGAAAGCUGUGCUGGGGUGGGUGAUGCUCAGCAAAGGCUGCACAGGGAUUUAAACAUCAGGCCUCUUUGCAGGCAUUGUUUUGGGGGCUGCUCUUGGAAGCUUAGCUUCAAGUCUGGUUCUCUCCAAUAACUUUGAGAUUGACCUCAUGUCCUUUAAAAAAUAAAUCU